This 310-nucleotide ribosomal RNA is filed under the name uncultured Ruminococcus sp. RNAcentral's name for it is "partial 16S ribosomal RNA". Lineage: Bacteria; Bacillati; Bacillota; Clostridia; Eubacteriales; Oscillospiraceae. The record is from RNAcentral.
GGAGUCUGGACCGUUUCUCAGUUCCAAUGUGGCCGUUCAACCUCUCAGUUCGGCUAAUGAUCGUUGAUUUGGUGGGCCGUUACCCCGCCAACUGUCUAAUCAUACGCGAGCUCAUCCUGCAUCAAUAAAUCUUUGACAUCAGAAUCAUGCGGUUCCGAUGCGUUAUGCGGUAUUAGCACAGGUUUCCCUGUGUUAUCCCCCAAUGCAGGGCAGAUUGCUCACGCGUUACUCACCCGUCCGCCACUGUUCCGCCCCCGAAGGGACUUCACCGUUCGACUUGAAUGUGUUAUGCACGCCGCCAGCGUUCAUC